UUUUUCAUCAAGAUUUGGAAGAGUGUGAAGGAAUGACAAUGAAACAGCUCCUGAAGCAUAGAAAAUGUAAGAAGAAAGGUUGAAUUGUUUAGCAACUUCAUGUACAUCAGUUGAAAAUACACCAAAGACUAAAGAAACAAGGUGAGUUUUAGAAAUGAGUGAUUCCACUUCUUCAAUGAGAAACGGAACAGAGUUUUUAACAAUGAGUUUCAUUUGUGAUGCAGGUUCAAGAUUUGGUGGAAGAUUCUUUACUUGAGGAAGAAGAAUAAAAUCAAUGUUUGGUGGAAGAGAAUAUAAAAUGUCUUGCAUGGAAGAGGAUAAUGGACCAAACGUGGGAACAAGGAAUGUGACAUGAAAUUGAAUAUGGU
Molecule: long non-coding RNA, 368 nt
Filed under: Cicer arietinum (chickpea)
Lineage: Eukaryota; Viridiplantae; Streptophyta; Magnoliopsida; Fabales; Fabaceae
Description: long non-coding RNA (CARI_LNC003229)
Source: RNAcentral